UUUAGGGAGACCUACCCACUCAAAUAUCGAAAGCAAUCAGUCAAUAGAUAUUGAGUUGGUCAUCCUAAGGUCGGUCGAGAUUGGUUGAAAGCUUUCAAAGUAUUAUUAAUUCGGUUUUUGAACUAUAUUAAACAUCGGAUAGGCCAACUCAGCAAUUGACGAGAGAGUCAAACUGCUGGGAGACAAACCAGCCAGAACCUUGAAAACUGCAUAGUGACGCGAAAGAAUAGCAGGCAGACACAGACGUGAUUAUUUGAAUGAUGUCAGUGGAUGCAUGGAGAAACACCAAAAUGUUUGAGU
This 300-nucleotide unclassified non-coding RNA is filed under the name Cylindrospermum catenatum CCALA 991. RNAcentral's name for it is "16S-23S ribosomal RNA intergenic spacer". Lineage: Bacteria; Bacillati; Cyanobacteriota; Cyanophyceae; Nostocales; Nostocaceae. The record is from RNAcentral.